Molecule: ribosomal RNA, 294 nt
Filed under: uncultured microorganism
Description: partial 16S ribosomal RNA
Rfam family: Bacterial small subunit ribosomal RNA
Source: RNAcentral
GUGCCAGCAGCCGCGGUAAUACGUAGGGCGCGAGCGUUAUCCGGAAUUAUUGGGCGUAAAGAGCUCGUAGGCGGUUUGUCGCGUCUGCCGUGAAAGUCCGGGGCUUAACCCCGGAUCUGCGGUGGGGUACGGGCAGACUAGAGUGCAGUAGGGGAGACUGGAAUUCCUGGUGUAGCGGUGAAAUGCGCAGAUAUCAGGAGGAACACCGAUGGCGAAGGCAGGUCUCUGGGCUGUUACUGACGCUGAGGAGCGAAAGCAUGGGGGAGCGAACAGGAUUAGAUACCCUGGUAGUCC